Molecule: long non-coding RNA, 802 nt
Filed under: Panax ginseng (ginseng)
Lineage: Eukaryota; Viridiplantae; Streptophyta; Magnoliopsida; Apiales; Araliaceae
Description: long non-coding RNA (PGIN_LNC017382)
Source: RNAcentral
CAAAAAAAAAAGAAAAAAAAAGAAAAAAGAGAGAGAAAGCAAUCAACUAGUAGAAUCCUCGUCUUUGGUUUGUGACUGGCCUUUGAGGGAGAGUAUUGUAUAUACGUUACUGAUAUAUCUCUCCCCUUUAGACCAUCCAUGGGCGUAUUCAGAGUCGACUUACUCGUCCUUGUGUUUUUAUGAAGAGUUAGUUUGCUACGGAGAGUUGAUCCGAAAUGCCUCGAGAGUUUAUAGAAACAGGUGUAAUAGAGAGAAAGAAGCCAAUGAAUGGGCUUUCUAGCUGUGAAAGUUUUCGGUUGUGUUUGUAUGUGUACUCAUGGCUAUAAUGAAGUCUCUCCCUGUACAUGAGAGAAUGCUUGCUUGCUGGCUUUGCACAAUUCUUCCUUGGUUUAUUAUAUACAAGUGAUAUUGGAGUAAUGAAGGAAUUUACAAGGCUGUGUGGUGCGCAUACAUAAUUAAAACCUUUGAUAUGCGGAUCAUUAUUCUUAAGAUCAAAAAUUGGUUAGAAGCUUUCUCAUUGUUUUGUGUUUUUGGCUAAUGAAUGUAGAAGCGGUCAACGUAUUCUGAGUUUUAGGUAAAAAGGAGGAGAGAAUGGUUUGGUAAUUUGUGCAUUUGUAUUGAGGAUCAUAACAAAUUUCAUAAUCUCUCAAUUACAAUAUUAAUAAACUCGUAUCACAUACAUCCAAAAGGCCUCACAGUAAAGAGGUCAAAAAUAAUAGAAGCCCUACUUGAAUCCCAAACUACUUGCACGUUGAUCUCAUUCAGGUCAUUUUUAAGAAAUUAACAAUUCAGAUGAAAUUAA